This 253-nucleotide ribosomal RNA is filed under the name uncultured bacterium. RNAcentral describes it as "partial 16S ribosomal RNA". It matches the Rfam family "Bacterial small subunit ribosomal RNA", at positions 524 to 776 of the family's 1533-position model. The record is from RNAcentral.
UACGAGGGGGGCAAGCGUUGUUCGGAAUUAUUGGGCGUAAAGGGUGCGUAGGCGGUCUGACAAGUCUGAUGUGAAAUCUAUGGGCUCAACCCAUAGUCUGCAUCGGAAACUGUCGGGCUUGAGUAUGGGAGAGGUGAGUGGAAUUUCCGGUGUAGCGGUGAAAUGCGUAGAUAUCGGCAGGAACACCCAGGGGGAAACCAGUCGACUGGGCAUCUACUGACGCUGAGGUGCGAGAGCGUGGGGAGCGAACCGG